UACAUUCGCCAGUUCAACCUUCAACAAACAAUGGAAGCAUGCAGCUCUGCCCUUCCUACCAAAUACGCCUUCUCACAGUCCUUGACGGCAAAACUAAGCGUGCCCGAGGAAAAAUUCGUUGCAACCAACUGCCUUCGUGAAUUCAACAAUGCCUACCAAGAUGGCUCGCUCAAGUCAAAGGAUAUGCUUUACUUCGCAAUUCCCCACAAAAAACAUUGGAUACUAUGUUGCACCAACCUUCUUUACAAACAGAUCAACAUAUUCGAUUC
Hordeum vulgare subsp. vulgare (domesticated barley) is the source of this 269-nucleotide long non-coding RNA. RefSeq lists it as uncharacterized. The transcript is spliced from 3 exons. The record is from RefSeq and is a predicted model, not a curated record. Lineage: Eukaryota; Viridiplantae; Streptophyta; Magnoliopsida; Poales; Poaceae.